Molecule: long non-coding RNA, 448 nt
Organism: Suricata suricatta (meerkat)
Lineage: Eukaryota; Metazoa; Chordata; Mammalia; Carnivora; Herpestidae
Exons: 4
Source: RefSeq, a predicted model, not a curated record
CAGGUGUUCUCUAACUUGGAGGAGCUGGCAGUAACUGUGCCCCAGCGGUGAUCACACUAACCAGCUCGUGCCUGGUAUCAAGGUCCUGAAAGCCAAGGAAACUAGUGCAUACUGCAGGACCCUAGAGAGAAGACAACUGAUGCAAGCCAUUGUUGGGGCAGCUGGCAGAAUGUUCAAGAAUAACUUACCUGAAGUGUGUCUACAAUACUUCAGUUGCUGAUGGAUGGAUAAAGCCUUCCCAAAAAGCAGAGCCCAGCUAACGUGAUGUGGACAGACGGUCUGGCUGGCUGCACUGACAGCUGGAUCCAGUGGACGGCAGCUCACGCUGCCCCCCGACUCGGUGUCCUUUGGCCGCUGGUGUCCAGAGCUACCAACCCAAAAUCACAGUGGUCACAGAGCAACCCUUAUCCAAAAGUAAAGUCUUUGUGCUUGACACACUACAGCCCUA